Molecule: transfer RNA, 63 nt
Filed under: Conocephalus melaenus
Lineage: Eukaryota; Metazoa; Arthropoda; Insecta; Orthoptera; Tettigoniidae
Description: tRNA-Ala
Rfam family: tRNA
About the family: Transfer RNA (tRNA) molecules are approximately 80 nucleotides in length. Their secondary structure includes four short double-helical elements and three loops (D, anti-codon, and T loops). Further hydrogen bonds mediate the characteristic L-shaped molecular structure. tRNAs have two regions of fundamental functional importance: the anti-codon, which is responsible for specific mRNA codon recognition, and the 3' end, to which the tRNAs corresponding amino acid is attached (by aminoacyl-tRNA synthetases). tRNAs cope with the degeneracy of the genetic code in two manners: having more than one tRNA (with a specific anti-codon) for a particular amino acid; and 'wobble' base-pairing, i.e. permitting non-standard base-pairing at the 3rd anti-codon position.
Source: RNAcentral
AGGGUUGUAGUUAAAAAUAACAUUUGAUUAGCAUUCAAAAGGUACUAGUAGUAGUCUGCCUUA